UUGGAGGGCAAGUCUGGUGCCAGCAGCCGCGGUAAUUCCAGCUCCAAUAGCGUAUAUUAAAGUUGUUGCAGUUAAAAAGCUCGUAGUCGAAUUUCGGGAUCAAUUUAUUGGUCGUGCCAACGGUACGCACUGGUACAAUUGGUUUCUCCCUUCUGACGAAGCAUGAUGUCAUUAAUUUGAUGUCGUGGGGAAUCAGGACUGUUACUUUGAAAAAAUUAGAGUGUUUAAAGCAGGCUUUGGCUUGAAUACAUUAGCAUGGAAUAAUGAAAUAGGACGUUUAAUUCUAUUUUGUUGGUUUCUAGGAUUGACGUAAUGAUUAAUAGGGAUAGUUGGGGGCAUUAGUAUUCAAUUGUCAGAGGUGAAAUUCUUGGAUUUAUUGAAGACUAACUACUGCGAAAGCAUUUGCCAAGGAUGUUUUCAUUAAUCAAGAACGAAAGUUAGGGGAUCGAAGACGAUCAGAUACCGUCGUAGUCUUAACCAUAAACUAUGCCGACUAGGGAUCGGGUGAUGUUAAUUUAUGACUCAUUCGGCGCCUUACGGGAAAC
This 545-nucleotide ribosomal RNA is filed under the name uncultured Glomeromycotina. RNAcentral's name for it is "SSU rRNA". It matches the Rfam family "Eukaryotic small subunit ribosomal RNA", at positions 548 to 1098 of the family's 1831-position model. The record is from RNAcentral. Lineage: Eukaryota; Fungi; Glomeromycota.